This 574-nucleotide ribosomal RNA is filed under the name uncultured eukaryote. Its description in RNAcentral is "bacterial SSU rRNA". It matches the Rfam family "Eukaryotic small subunit ribosomal RNA", at positions 1098 to 1675 of the family's 1831-position model. The record is from RNAcentral.
UCAGGUAGUAGUUCGGGUUCCGGGGGGAGUAUGGUCGCAAGGACCGAAACUUAAAGGAAUUGACGGAAGGGCACCACCAGGAGUGGAAUCUGCGGCUUAAUUUGACUCAACGCGGGAAAACUCACCAGGUCAGGACACGGUAAGGAUUGACGGACUGAAGGCUUCUUUCUCGAUUCCGUGGAAAGUGGUGCAUGGUCCGUUUUUGGUUGGUGGAUCGAUCCGUCUGGUUAAUUCCGUUAACGAACGAGACCUCGGCACUCCGAAUAGCGCGGCGGACGUCGCGGCCUCCGGGCCGUCUUCCGCACGAGCUUCUUAGAGGGGACCGUCCCCCGCCGGGGGAAGGAGGUGCGAGGCAACGACAGGUCUGUGAUGCCCUUAGAUGUUCUGGGCCGCACGCGCAUUACACUGACGCGUCCAACGGGUGACUCCCGACCCGAAGGGGCCGGGGAAUCCGCAAGGCGCGUCGUGAUGGGGAUUGAACGUUGCAAUUGUUGUUCACGAACGAGGAAUUCCUAGUAGGCGCGGGUCAUCAACCCGCGCCGAUUACGUCCCUGCCCUUUGUACACACCGCCCG